UGCAAAACUAGUUUGUCAUAGACAAUUACAAUGCUGGGAAAUGUGAUCAUAAGUUCCCAAGACCAUCAGCACUUUUGUUUCAGUUUAAAUAAUAACAAUAAAGCCUCAAAUACAUUUUCACUGUUGGGCUUAAUUCCUACCAGUAUCUUUAGCAAUUUAUUCACUGGAGUUUUCACUUUUCUGGGGAAAAAUAACAGCAAGAACUAAUUUAGUUUUGAGUAUAUAAGUAAUAUAAUUAGCUGUGCAAGUAGUUUUAUUUAAACAGUCAGAAAAUCUAUGGUGUUGAAAAUAAGCUCAUUCAUUACACUUUUGCUCAGAUGGUUUGUCUUCAGAAUUACAGAUUUUGCGACGCUUACUAGUUUUCCCCAUUUUGCCUCAGGAAAGCCAACAACAGCCUUCUUUAUUUUUUAGGGCAAAAGGGCACAAAGCAGGUCAGACAGCCAAGUCUGGACAACAUCUAUUUAUCUGGGUUUUCCUGUGUAAUAAUAAAUUGUCUCCAUCUAAGGCAGGGGGAGCAGCAAAGACUCCACAGUGUGUAGCAGGAAAGUCAGUGACAACAACUGUUACAUUAAUUAUGUUAGCUUACAGAAAAAAGAGGAGGAUUUUGGUGGAGGUGGGUUACAAAGCGGCUUGCAGUUGGUGAAACAAUUGCAGGAAGCCUUAAAAGGUGCCUCCUGGGAGCAUAUAUAUGCACAUACUGGUUUUUUCUACCUAACCUCAUUUUUACUCUUCUUUCUUUCUCUUUUUAAAUCACUGUUGUGUUUACAGAUUUCUGCUCAUAGUAUACGGCCCUUACCAGGCAUCUGUGGCACUGUCUGUUUUUCAUUUGUACUACUUUUCAGUCUUUAUCAUGCUCCUGUAACACAACAAUUUAUCUUUUGGGAUCAAUAAGCUCUUCACAGUGAGCCGUUUCCUGAGACAAGGCUUUGAAGUGGAUGAGGGAGGUGAGACACCGUGCGCCCAGCUGCCCAGCCGCUGUGGUUAAGGGGUCUUUAUCACGCAGACAAGGGGGACAGCACUCAGCUCUUGCCCUUCUAUCUUUCACCGCGGCAGAAGAGUGAUUUUGACAACCAGCGCACCCCAGCUGCGCAGGGGCCAGGCCUGCGAAACCACAGGCGGAUAAUGAAUGCCACACCAUCGUGACAACUUGCACUUUUAUGGAAAGGGGAGGAAGGACACUUGUGCUCACAGCGUAUGAUGGGACGUCCCCCAUAAACCAGACAAUCAAAGCGAGGGCAGAUAAGCAUCUGUGGAAUCUGUGACGGGAACCUCCGCUGAUUUAUGGGCACUACUGGAAAAGGUUUGUUUCCAAGUGAACGUGUUUAGAGGUAACCAAAGAAGAAAUACAACUUUCCCAAUGCAACCACGGCAUCUGUAAAUGAUAAACCACAGUCGCAUUAUCCAUGAUCUUCCUUGCUUUCCUGAGCUGAACAAGCCACAUGCUAUUUAUGAAGAACUUCCUCCAAAAUGAGAAGACUUGAGGUUUUCCAAUUAGGUCAGAUUGCUAUUCUUGGUGACUCUCACAGUCGUGUUAUUUGUAUUCUGUACAUCAGAGGGAUAAUACAUCCAUUUGCUUUCAAGGCAAACAUUACUAGAAAAGGAGCAGCUUUGAUCUUCUUCCAAUAGACACG
Astatotilapia calliptera (eastern happy) is the source of this 1631-nucleotide long non-coding RNA. Lineage: Eukaryota; Metazoa; Chordata; Actinopteri; Cichliformes; Cichlidae. The record is from Ensembl.